GACGAACGCUGGCGGCGUGCUUAACACAUGCAAGUCGAACGGAAAGGCCCUGCUUUUGUGGGGUGCUCGAGUGGCGAACGGGUGAGUAACACGUGAGUAACCUGCCCUUGACUUUGGGAUAACUUCAGGAAACUUGGGCUAAUACCGGAUAGGAGCUCCUGCUGCAUGGUGGGGGUUGGAAAGUUUCGGCGGUUGGGGACGGACUCGCGGCUUAUCAGCUUGUUGGUGGGGUAGUGGCUUACCAAGGCUUUGACGGGUAGCCGGCCUGAGAGGGUGACCGGCCACAUUGGGACUGAGAUACGGCCCAGACUCCUACGGGAGGCAGCAGUGGGGAAUAUUGCACAAUGGGCGGAAGCCUGAUGCAGCAACGCCGCGUGCGGGAUGACGGCCUUCGGGUUGUAAACCGCUUUCGCCUGUGACGAAGCGUGAGUGACGGUAAUGGGUAAAGAAGCACCGGCUAACUACGUG
RNAcentral lists this ribosomal RNA (468 nucleotides) under uncultured bacterium. RNAcentral's name for it is "partial 16S ribosomal RNA". It matches the Rfam family "Bacterial small subunit ribosomal RNA", at positions 28 to 507 of the family's 1533-position model. The record is from RNAcentral.